RNAcentral lists this ribosomal RNA (505 nucleotides) under uncultured Glomeraceae. RNAcentral describes it as "SSU rRNA". It matches the Rfam family "Eukaryotic small subunit ribosomal RNA", at positions 569 to 1078 of the family's 1831-position model. The record is from RNAcentral. Lineage: Eukaryota; Fungi; Glomeromycota; Glomeromycetes; Glomerales; Glomeraceae.
AGCAGCCGCGGUAAUUCCAGCUCCAAUAGCGUAUAUUAAAGUUGCUGCAGUUAAAAAGCUCGUAGUUGAAUUUCGGGACUAAUAUGUCGGUCGUGCCUCGGUACGUACCGGUUUAUUGGUUUCUCCUUUCUGAAGAACCAUGAUGUCAUUUAUUUGGUGUCGUGGGGAAUCAGGACUGUUACUUUGAAAAAUUAGAGUGUUUAAAGCAGGCUCACGCUUGAAUACAUUAGCAUGGAAUAAUGAAAUAGGACGUUUGAUUCUAUUUUGUUGGUUUCUAGGAUCGACGUAAUGAUUAAUAGGGAUAGUUGGGGGCAUUAGUAUUCAAUUGUCAGAGGUGAAAUUCUUGGAUUUAUUGAAGACUAACUACUGCGAAAGCAUUUGCCAAGGAUGUUUUCAUUAAUCAAGAACGAAAGUUAGGGGAUCGAAGACGAUCAGAUACCGUCGUAGUCUUAACCAUAAACUAUGCCGACUAGGGAUCGGAUGAUGUUAAUUUUUUAAUGACUCA